CCCACAGAAGGGCGUAUUCAGAUUCCUAAAGAAGGCUUUGAAAAGGAUCCAAAGAGGCAAUCACAUGCAUGUGCAACUAUUUUUUCACUAGGCAAGAAUAUAUGGAAUGUGAAUGGAGUUUCAGCAAAGCUCUGUGAAUCAUCACCGUACCCCACGGGUGACAUUUCCUUUGAUCCUUAAAAUGCAAUAUUUCAGAUGUUAUACCAAACCUCAGAAGAGUAACUUGCUAAGGAAAAUAUCGCUGUGUUUUCCUGAAGGAACUGAAGCUACAUCAGGUUGAAUUUCACCCUUGCUCAAGAUCCCCCACAUUUGCCAUGGUGAUCUCAAACUGCAAUAAGUAAAGAAAGGAUCAAUGUGUGGCAGCUGAACUUCUGAGACAAUGUCUCUCCACAAUGGGUCUGAGUGGGGAACUUCUUCUUUAUGCUCUGAAUUCUCUGGGGACAUCAGAAGAGAGAAAAAAAAAUAAAAUAUAACUAUUAGAAAACUGGAGA
Molecule: long non-coding RNA, 491 nt
Organism: Melospiza melodia melodia
Lineage: Eukaryota; Metazoa; Chordata; Aves; Passeriformes; Passerellidae
Exons: 3
Source: RefSeq, a predicted model, not a curated record